RNAcentral lists this long non-coding RNA (1254 nucleotides) under Heterocephalus glaber (naked mole-rat). RNAcentral's name for it is "lncRNA (ENSHGLG00100030188.2)". Lineage: Eukaryota; Metazoa; Chordata; Mammalia; Rodentia; Bathyergidae. The record is from RNAcentral.
GUGUGCACUGGGCUAAGAGGGUUGGGGAAAAAGGGUCUUCAGAUAAGCAUGUGUGGACACACAGGAGGUGCUGCCCUGGGGCUGCCAGUGUGGCUGUGCAGAGGGCUCUCUAGCUCACCCCUUUAACAGCUUCAACCGACACUCAUCUUUCUUACAGAGCCAGAAUUUGAUUUUGAAGACUUUCCUUUCUUAACAUCAAAAAAUAUAACUGAAAUGGACUAAGAUACAGCCAUCAUAUGAAUAUGGGUUUCAGAUGUACAACAAGACAUGGAAAAACUGACAGUGUGAACAGUGAAGAAAAAGGAAGAAAUCCACUUUGGAUCAUGGUUUAGAAGAAAUAUGGGGUCCAAAAAAGGGUUUCUUUUUUGAAUCUGCCAUGCUAUGAAGGACGUGAAAAUCAGUUUUACUGGAAAGAUGAUGGACUCUCAUCUGAGAUUGCCCCCUGGAGGACAUAGGGAGCAACCAGACAGCAUCUGCUUCCUGCUCCAGGGAGGAUCAACAUUAAUUAAUGCAACAGAGCAGCUGGUUCUCUCUGAGCUACUGAUUUGGAUUCAGCUGCAGUGAUUAUUUCUUUGUGCAUCAUUUGGCUUUGUGCAUCAUUUGACUCCUCAAAAGAUCACACAUUGUUAUGUUUUACAUCUAGACUGUCUCACAAAAGUCCCAUAAGUUCAGAGGUGGGACUUUUGGAUGGUGACUGGAUCAUGGAGGUGCUGUGCUCUUCAGAGCAUUGAGCACACUCUCACACAAAUGCUUGUGGAUGGACUAUGUGAAAUUGAACCAGAACUUCAGGAAUGAAGAAGUGAAGUCAGAAGAACUAGUAAGCUGGAAACCAAAGGCAGAGAGAAAUACAAUCAAGGAAAUAUUAAACUCAGAUAUGGAAACUGAAACCAAGCAAUAUUAAUAGACACACUCCUGACCAUCUAGAAGAAUUUUAUUGGAAUCUAUAGUGCUAUCCAUAACCACCUUCUAAUAAAGAACUGAGCAAUUUCAUAAGUAGGAUUUAAAAAUUUUAUACAAAUUCACAGUGGUGAAUUAUAAUAAUUCAUUUCAGCAUUCAUUUGCAUAGAUACAUUUGAUUUUACUUCAUUUCUAAGAUUACUUUUUUCUCUUUGAAGAUACUAAGUUUAAGUCACAAAAUAAACUAUGAUGAACUUACAGAAUUCUCCCUCUUGCAUCAAGCACAUCCCAUCAUCCUUGCUACUUUCUGAAGCAGUUCUGGAAGUCCUCUUAUGUGAGUGUCUUUAGUUGAAUUGU